GUGAGGAAUAUUGGUCAAUGGGCGAGAGCCUGAACCAGCCAAGUCGCGUGAAGGAAGAAGGAUCUAUGGUUCGUAAACUUCUUUUGCAGGGGAAUAAAGUGCAGGACGUGUCCUGUUUUGUAUGUACCCUGAGAAUAAGGAUCGGCUAACUCCGUGCCAGCAGCCGCGGUAAUACGGAGGAUCCGAGCGUUAUCCGGAUUUAUUGGGUUUAAAGGGUGCGUAGGUGGUUUGAUAAGUCAGCGGUGAAAAUUUGCAGCUUAACUGUAAGAAUGCCGUUGAAACUGUCGGACUUGAGUGUAAAUGAGGUAGGCGGAAUGCGUGGUGUAGCGGUGAAAUGCAUAGAUAUCACGCAGAACUCCGAUUGCGAAGGCAGCUUACUAAGCUACAACUGACACUGAAGCACGAAAGCGUGGGGAUCAAACAGGAUUAGAAACCCUGGUAGUCC
RNAcentral lists this ribosomal RNA (445 nucleotides) under uncultured bacterium. Its description in RNAcentral is "partial 16S ribosomal RNA". It matches the Rfam family "Bacterial small subunit ribosomal RNA", at positions 354 to 796 of the family's 1533-position model. The record is from RNAcentral.